RNAcentral lists this long non-coding RNA (900 nucleotides) under Homo sapiens (human). RNAcentral's name for it is "non-protein coding lnc-HES1-8:1". Lineage: Eukaryota; Metazoa; Chordata; Mammalia; Primates; Hominidae. The record is from RNAcentral.
CGCAAAUUUGCCUCUUCCUUCCAAAAAUAUUCUUCAACCCUGAUGUCAUUCCUGUGCCUAUUAAAACUCUCCUUUGAGGCAGCCAACUAUGACUCAAGGGAAAGGUUGAGUGGGUCCUUGUGGCGACCAUGAGAGCAGCAGGCCUCCCUGACCCAAGAAAGCCUCCUUGGAGCACCCUGGACUGGCCUGGGAUCAGUUAAGGAGAGUUUUACGGAACUGUGUCCUGGUCUGCUCCACAGCCCCAGUCAAACAGUCCUGCUCUUUGGAGGGGAAGAGCAGUUCAUUCUGAGCGUCCCUCGGCCAGACAUAUCCGAGUUCUGUGAAGAGCAGCAGGACCAAAAGGGAAAUUGGGAAAGACCAUCUUGCUGAGGUCUUUCAGGAAAUCAGAGCACAGAUGGUAGAGCUUUGGGACUGAAAGCUCACACAGAGGGAAGAGGGUUGAAUAAUCUUUUUUUUCCCCCCAGAUUCCCCAGAGCUUUCACUCCAGGGUGCCAGAGGGUGCCCGGCAGGAGCAGGCCCCUGGGAACUCCCAGGACAACCCAGAGGCAGUCCAGACAGCUGGGAGUCCUUUGCUGCGGGCAGGCUCCGGGUACAGUGCCCCUCAGAAGAUCAUCCCUACUCAGGUGGUGAGGCCUGGGGAAACUCAAGUUACUUUACCAUGUACUUCAAUAAGUGAGUCAUCUCUUAGCCUUUUCUUCCCUAGAUUGAAUGAUGCUCGUUCCAUCAACUGGUUUAUUAAACGCACCCUUUAUUUCGCCAUUAUAUGAGUGCAUUUUGGUCCUCUGUUCAACUAGAAGUUACCUUAUUUGUCUCUACCAGUGUACACACAGUAACCAACAAGUCGGACAUUUACGAAUACUUUAACAAGAAUCGACCCAACAAAUAAUUUCCAGAUCUCUA